UAUUAACAAAGUCAACUCUCUCUUUCUCUCUCACUCUCCCUCUCUCUAUGGAAACCCUAGGAUUGGGUAAACGUCGUCGCCUUCAUCUUCCUCCGCCAACAUGACCCGGACUCCCCUCCGCCACACCUGUUUUCCGACGACCAGAAACCCAAAUCCCUACAACAAAUCCCCAACCAUACAACUUCUAGAUAGCACGAUUAUUUACCCCCAUUGCCAAAUCUGGAAACGAUGAAGAAUGAAAAUCGGCGGAAACGAAGCUAAUCUGAUAUCAAUAAAGGAUAGAGAAGCAGGAAGAUCGGCAGAAUCGACGGAAUCUACACUGAAAACCUAAAAGACCGGCGGAAAUCAACGAUUCAAGGAAUUAGGUUGAUUUGAUGAAGAUUUUGAACGGUAUUGAAGUUUCUGAAGAAGAACAGAAGAAGGGCUUGCAUAACUGCACAACCCUAAACACGAAGGGGAAGAAUAAAGUACAAAAGCUCAACAUAAAGGAAGAUGAGACAUUCAACUAUGCAAAGAAAUCCAGAAAUAAGAAGAUGAGUACCUGAACUUGAAUGUGCUAAGUCCUUAGAUGGCAAACUCUUGAGUAUUGCAGAUUUCCUAAGUUUCUUCAUUGAUAGCUAUCUUUUAUGUUGGUAACAGAGAGAUAUUCUAGAUUGAAAUGACAUGAAAGCUCAAUGGAAAAGCUAAGAUUUAGGAGGUAUAGAACCACUUCUAAACCAUGAUGACCAUAAUCUGUGCAAUGAAAUGAUGAAUUUAGGACAUAGAAGAAGUUCAAGAGAACUAUAGAAAAGAAAGAAAGAAAUCAGAGACAAAUGAUAAGGGGAAUGCAAGAAAUUUAAAGAGUUAGAACCACACAUAAACCAAGAAGACCCUUCAGUUUAUCAUGGUUAUCAACAGUCUAAACCUGCAAAUAGGUUUACAAAAGGCUUCUUGGAAAUAUUAAUGUAGUUUGCUGUAAAUUUUACAAAAAUGAAAUCAAAUUAGACUUAAAAUAGAUGAUUUCUAUCUGAAUGUUCAAAAGUAUGAGCUUAAGAGACUCACAAAUGCAAACUACUAAUAUAUACACACUAAUUUUCAUUGAAAUAUAAGCUUCUUUAACUGAUUUGAUUGAAUGAAAUGCUCAAUGUUUUGUCUUAGAAAUUUCCCAAAUAUUCAAUUAGUAAAUGCUAAAUGAUGUACCAUACAGAUAUUGGACUUCAUCUGUGUUUCUACAUGUUUCUUAAUGUUGCAUAUUAUUCAAUUUAUUUGAAACAACUGCCUCCCUGUUCAAUUCAGAAGCUUAACUAUUAAACAACCUCAAUCAAUAACCUCUGCACUACUUCUAGAUAAGAAAACGAAGAAAUAAAACCACUAAUAUAGGACUUGUUAGAUGUGUAUACAUAUUUGUUUAGUCACAGAUUCACUGAUAUGGAAGAAAUGCACAGAUAGAUUGCUGCUACUUUCUUUAUAACACACACAGUUUUCAAAGAGAUUUAAAUGGAUUCUUCCAAGUGCAAAAAGUUCCAGUCAAUUACGUGCAUAAAAUGGUUGAGUGCAUAUGCAUUCAAGUUUGAAGCAGAAUUUAACACUCAUUGUUAAAGGUGGAGUUUUCUGAUCAACUUCUUAAAAUAUGUCAAACAUAUAUUCAAAAGGUUUAGUAUAUCAUAACAAAGAAAAAAAACUUCAUAUCUUUAUGUUCUUGCAGUACUACACAUUAUAUGCCAUCAAUAAUCUUUCCUGAUAGAGUGUACUAAUCUUUUCAUUUCUGAUUUCAGUAGCUCAAGUGGUGAACAACACUAAAGACAUAAGGUUUUGAAUGAGGAGAAGCAACCAAGGAAAGAAGUUAAAUCUAUACUAAUCUAAAGUGCAAGUUUGAUGAAAAGUCCUUAAUGCCCUUUUUGGAGGGAAAUUGGAAAGAUGGCCCUACUGCAGGUAUAAAAUAGUUACAAAGAGGUAUAGACACAACCAUUUCAGAAAAAGGGAGUUCUCAAUGACAAAAGAGAGGAGACAGAGAAAAGUGGCGAAGAAGAAUUUUUACAAACCUAGUAAGAAGACAAAAAGUAGCAACAGAGGAUAUGUCAUUUAAGAAAGUGAGAGGCAAAGAAGAUCUUCUACCAAAAUGAAAAAUUGGCAGGUCAGCAAGCAUAUCAGUGAAAGGUUCAGGAAGGCCAAGAAGAUAUUUCAGCAAAAUGAAAAAGUGAAACAAAAGAAAAGAAAACUGUGACAGCAAGAAGAUGCAGUGAAGAUGUAUCAGCAAAAUGGUAAAACAUGAAGAUCUUAAACACUUAGUCCACUUAUCAUUCACAGCUGCCACUGAACUGCCACUUUGGUUUAUACCUUAUCAGUGAGAGGUUCAAGAAGGCCAAGAAUGUAUUUCACCAAAAUGAAAUAGUGAAAGAGAAUGAGAGAAAUCUUUGAAGGCAAGAAGAUGCCAAGAAGAUCUAUCAGCAAAAUGAAAUAAAACAACAAAAUGAGAGAUAGCAGUGAUAGCAAAGGGAUGCCUAGAGGUUCUUUCAACAAAUUAAGUGCAAAGGGGAUUCAAUACAACCCCAAAAAGCAGCCGCCAGCCACUCUCUCCAAAGGAAAAAGGAAGAGACAAAUAGAUUGAAAUACCCUGCUAUCUACACAGAGGCUACAAAAGUUCUAAAAAAUAGAUCCUUCCAUAACAACCUCUUCAAGUCUAUAAAGAGAGGGAGCAGGCCAAACGAUGCAUAUCAAAAGGAAGAGAAGCAAUCCAUACAUAAAGCAAAAAUCAGCAACAAAUAUUAGGACAUUCAAGAAAAACAUACUUCUAAGGGACAAAUUGCAUUGGAAACAUGUUUAAUACCCUAAAAAAUUGCUUAGCAACAAAGAUAUAUGUAUUUAUUAAGCUGUCUCCUCUC
Molecule: long non-coding RNA, 2861 nt
Organism: Salvia splendens (bonfire salvia)
Lineage: Eukaryota; Viridiplantae; Streptophyta; Magnoliopsida; Lamiales; Lamiaceae
Exons: 12
Source: RefSeq, a predicted model, not a curated record